UCUUCUGCAGUUCCAAGUUAAGGUUAAUUACAAAAUAUUAAAAGUACGUAUUCAAUGUUUCGCUCUUAGUCCGAGAAUGGAGUUGUACAGAAGUAACAAGUGACAAGCUAGAAGAUGUAUUUGAGAAUGCGUGAAUCAGCACAAAAUUAAAGAUGGAUUGCUUGGAGGAAAUUUUCUUAAAUCCAAAUGCGCCGGAAGGUGUAAAUGACGAGUUUGUGUACGAAGAGCCCGAUGACGAAUUUGAAUCCCCAGAUGUCCGUGCUGAAUUUGAUUACGAUCACGAUGUUUUUUAUACCAAGGAGGUGUUUGACACACACAUAGAUUUGGUAGACUGGGCUCAAAAAACGGCAAAGGAGCUUGGUUAUGUGUUAGUAACACGAAGAUCAAAUGCCACAAAAGGCGGAGAAGUUAAAAAGGUGGUCCUUAUUUGCAACCGUGGUGAAAAAAAAAGAUAAGCGGUCAACCGGGGCACCCAAAGGGAGUACCAAAAUUGACUGUCCAUUCAAAUUGGUAGGCCGUCUGACAAAGGACCAUAGUUGGUGGGUUGAAGUUAUAGAUCACCGACAUAACCAUCCAUCAGCUCGUAAUUUGGAAGGUAUUGCGUACGCAAGACGACUAACCGAUAUUCAAAAAGAAUUUGUGGACGAAAAGGCGUUGCUAGGUUUUGGGCCAAAUAGCAUACGGGUAUACAAUACGUUUUGUAUACGCCCAUAGAUUUAAUGUAUUGUUGUUCUUGUGUUCUUGUUGUUGUUCUUGUUUUUGUUAUGUAAAAAUGUUUGUAAAAA
Molecule: long non-coding RNA, 785 nt
Organism: Erigeron canadensis
Lineage: Eukaryota; Viridiplantae; Streptophyta; Magnoliopsida; Asterales; Asteraceae
Exons: 3
Source: RefSeq, a predicted model, not a curated record